Molecule: ribosomal RNA, 478 nt
Filed under: uncultured bacterium
Lineage: Bacteria
Description: partial 16S ribosomal RNA
Rfam family: Bacterial small subunit ribosomal RNA
Source: RNAcentral
GACGAACGCUGGCGGCGUGCUUAACACAUGCAAGUCGAACGGUAAGGCCCUUCGGGGUACACGAGUGGCGAACGGGUGAGUAACACGUGGGUGAUCUGCCCUGCACUUCGGGAUAAGCCUGGGAAACUGGGUCUAAUACCGGUUAGGACCACUGCCUGCAUGGGUGGUGGUGGAAAGCUUUUGCGGUGUGGGAUGGGCACGCGGCCUAUCAGCUUGUUGGUGGGGUGAUGGCCUACCAAGGCGACGACGGGUAGCCGGCCUGAGAGGGUGACCGGCCACACUGGGACUGAGAUACGGCCCAGACUCCUACGGGAGGCAGCAGUGGGGAAUAUUGCACAAUGGGCGCAAGCCUGAUGCAGCGACGCCGCGUGAGGGAUGACGGCCUUCGGGUUGUAAACCUCUUUCAGCACCGACGAAGCGCAAGUGACGGUAGGUGCAGAAGAAGGACCGGCCAACUACGUGCCAGCAGCCGCCGUAA